GUUUGCUCUGGGGACUGAGAGGGACCAGACAUCAAUCCAGGUUCUCCAAAUCUUUCUGAACAAGUCUCUCAUAUUUCAAACUUAGCCAGUUAUCUCGCCAUAGAAGGCUGAAGAGUUAUAAGUCUAGUGGAAGCUGGGUACGUGACCAGAAAUGGCAUUGAAGAGUGUUUCCUGCUGGCUGGAGAGUAGAUACCCCAAGUGCCAAUCAAAGAAAAGAAAGCUUCGGAUAAGUCAAAGGGUGGAUGCCUCUUGCCAAUGUUAAACCGGCAAACUCCCGGUUUACACUCUUUAAAUAAAAAGAAAAGAACUAC
Long non-coding RNA from Malaclemys terrapin pileata, 311 nucleotides. RefSeq lists it as uncharacterized. NCBI's taxonomy places the organism in Eukaryota, Metazoa, Chordata, Testudines, Emydidae. The record is from RefSeq and is a predicted model, not a curated record. The transcript is spliced from 2 exons.